GACUGGGUAGCUCAGUUGGUAGAGCAUCAGACUUUUAAUCUGAGGAUCCAGGGUUUAAGUCCUUGUUCAGACA
This 73-nucleotide transfer RNA is filed under the name Ictidomys tridecemlineatus (thirteen-lined ground squirrel). RNAcentral describes it as "Spermophilus tridecemlineatus (thirteen-lined ground squirrel) tRNA". It matches the Rfam family "tRNA". From Rfam's summary of the family: Transfer RNA (tRNA) molecules are approximately 80 nucleotides in length. Their secondary structure includes four short double-helical elements and three loops (D, anti-codon, and T loops). The record is from Rfam by way of RNAcentral. Lineage: Eukaryota; Metazoa; Chordata; Mammalia; Rodentia; Sciuridae.